This 301-nucleotide ribosomal RNA is filed under the name uncultured bacterium. RNAcentral's name for it is "partial 16S ribosomal RNA". It matches the Rfam family "Bacterial small subunit ribosomal RNA", at positions 509 to 807 of the family's 1533-position model. The record is from RNAcentral.
CAGCCGCCGCGGUAAUACGAGAGGGGCAAGCGUUGUUCGGAAUUAUUGGGCGUAAAGGGCGCGUAGGCGGCCGUUCAAGUUAGAUGUGAAAGCCCUGGGCUCAACCUAGGAAUUGCAUUUGAUACUGUUUGGCUUGAGUUCGGGAGAGGUGAGUGGAAUUCCCAGUGUAGAGGUGAAAUUCGUAGAUAUUGGGAAGAACACCAGUGGCGAAGGCGGCUCACUGGACCGACACUGACGCUGAGGCGCGAAAGCGUGGGGAGCAAACAGGAUUAGAUACCCCCGUAGUCCCUGUCUCUUAUAC